RNAcentral lists this long non-coding RNA (757 nucleotides) under Salmo salar (Atlantic salmon). Its description in RNAcentral is "lncRNA (ENSSSAG00000113489.1, ENSSSAG00020018618.1)". Lineage: Eukaryota; Metazoa; Chordata; Actinopteri; Salmoniformes; Salmonidae. The record is from RNAcentral.
GGUAGAUAUGGAGGCAGGAGCAGGUAAAGGGUAGAUAUGGAGGCAGGAGCAGGUAAAGUGUAGAUAUGUAGUUAGGAGGCAGGUUAAGGGUAGAUAUGGAGUUAGGAGGCAGGAGCAGGUAAAGGGUAGAUAUGGAGGUAGGAGCAGGUUUAGGGUAGAUAUGGAGGCAGGAGGCAGGUUUAGGGUAGAUAUGUAGUUAGGAGGCAGGUUACGGGUAGACAUGGAGUUAGGAGGCAGGAGCAGGUAAAGGGUAGAUAUGGAGGCAGGAGCAGGUAAAGGGUAGAUAUGGAGGCAGGAGCAGGUAAAGGGUAGAUAUGGAGUUAGGAGGCAGGAGCAGGUAAAGGGUAGAUAUGUAGUUAGAAGGCAGGUUAAGGGUAGAUAUGGAGAUAGGAGGCAGGAGCUGGUAAAGGGUAGAUAUGAAGGCAGGAGCAGGUAAAGGGUAGAUAUGGAGGCAGGAGCAGGUAAAGGGUAGAUAUGGAGGCAGGAGCAGGUUAAAGGUAGAUAUGGAGUUAGGAGGCAGGUUAAGGGUAGAUAUGGAGUUAGGAGGCAGAUUAAGGGUAGAUAUGGAGUUAGGAGGCAGGUUAUUAAGGGUAGAUAUGGAGUUAGGAGGCAGGAGCAGGUAAAGGGUAGAUUUGGAGGCAGGAGCAGGUUAAGGGUAGAUAUGGAGUUAGGAGGCAGGAGCAGGUUAAGGGUAGAUAUGGAGUUAGGAGGCAGGAGCAGGUAAAGGGUAGAUAUGGAGGCAGGAGCAGGUAAAGGG